UGGUAUGGUUCUACAACAAGAAUUCAUAAUUAUCAGAAAAUCAUAAUAAUCAAGAAAAUCAUCUUAGUGUAAAACGAUUUAUUUCAUUUUCGAAUAUUUCUUCAAAUUACUUGUUCAUGUUUACAUUUUCAGUUUGACGUCUCAUGGUGAGGUUAGAUUCCAGAGUUACCAAGUGUCCGCUGGUGUUUUUCCUUUCAAAUAUGUGUUGUUUAUAGUGGCAACAAUGUGAUAUUAAUCUUCUUCGGUGAUGGAAAAAGAAAAGACGUCCAUUUCACGGGAGUUGUUGGUCAUUACAAGUACCAUCUAGAAUUCUCUCUUGAUUUUCGUACCACCUUAAUUUAAUUUCAAGUCGGAAAUUGCAUAUUAUACUUGAACAGUUUAGAAGUUCAGAUAAUUUUAUUUCAAAUCAGUAUCAAAUUUGAAAAAAACUGAAAAAGUGGUUUGAAUCGGAGAUAAUUCUUCAUUAGUUGUGUUCGCAAGCCGUACUUAUUCUUCCUGUUACGCAAGAUGGUCAACUUCAACGUAUUCUACAAGAACAACAGGGUAGGUUUUUUUUGUAAACAUCUAGAUGCAGACUUUUUCCACUAUUGGCGAUUCCUUAUUGAACUGGUGCUGAAAGUCUAAAUCUGGAAUAGGCGAUUGACUGGAGUACGUUAAAGUCAGCUUACAUCAUAUUCGAAUCAAUGGAUCAGAAACACUCUCGAAAACUCGAAAACAGUUCUUUGGUGUCCAAGGGUGCUAUGUACGCAUGAAUGAACGAGUGCUCAAUGACUCCUGAUGUCAGUGCUUUCCCCGAUUUUUUUCAUUACGAAUGAUGACUUCCAUGGCACUCAAUACAAUAAUUCACCAUUGUGGAGGUUUGUACCACGAUAGCUAUAUUGGCUCGCGAGGUACAAAUUUUCAGAAUGUUUAUUAUUAUCACCAUCCCAUAAAACUGGAUGAAACAUAGGAGAUAUGGAAAAUUUGUCAAAUUUGUAUUGGAAUUAGUUAUUACCAAUAGAAGAAAUAUAGGAGAUUCAAAUGCGAACAUUUGAUGUAAUAAUUCACUAUUUUGAAUAUUUGAUUUGUUUUUGAAUGUAUAUAUAUAUUCAAUUAUAAUAUAGCAAGAGCAUUUUUAUAUUCUGACAAUGAUGAGAAAUGAUUUAUAUCAUUUCGAAGUUGUAUUUUUUAUUGAAUCCUGUGACGUGUGCAAUACAAUGAAUUUUUGUAAAGGAGCAUCAAUAAAUUAUCUAUCAUAGACAAUAUUCGAUUGUACAGCGAGCGACAAGACUUAAGAAAUAUCACGUGAGCGCAGCUCGAGUGGUGUUUCGCGAAAUACGUCUAGUCAAGAGGUUCGUAUAAUCGAAACACAGGGUGGUCCGAGUUUUAGUUCAAUAGCUUUGGCGUACAGGGUGGGCAAAUUUCGAUGUUUCAGCACUACAUUUUUUAAACCAGAUGAGACAAAACAAAGACAGAAUCUGAUACCCUAUUCUCGUUGUCUUAUUCUGAAAAAAUGACAGGAGUAGUAUAAUUUUUGGCCUCCUUCUUUUGUUUUCGAGUAAUAAGCGAAAAUUGGAAAAAUGGCGAUAUCGAAAAAAAAAUAUUUCUCCGUCAAUACUGAUGAUAGAGCUCUGAAAUUAAAACAUUAUACAGGCACUUUUCAACGUAGAAUCCAGUGGCGUGUGCUUUUUUGACAGGGUUUUUAAUCACGAAGCCAUGAACCUAAGAUAGGUUUUUUCGAAUAGGAACACUAGAUUUCUGUGCAUUUCUUGAAAGCUUAAUUUUUUCUGAUUUCAAGAAUAUAUGACAUCGUAUGAUUUGUAUCAAUAUAAAUAAUAGAAAAUGGUCAGAAACCUUUUCUUAACUAAGAGUCUUAAUAUUUCUAUGGUUUCAACUGUUGAAAUUAUAACAGACCAUAGAAAUUAAUUACCGUUUAUAUAGAAAAGAGUCGGUGUUCUUUAAAUUGGACACCCAAUAUUUUACAACGCAUUUUUUUACCCGCAGAUUUGCCGGAAAGCAUUCCGUUACCGGUUUUUCGAAAAUGUAAUUUGUUUCAAAAAUAUGAGAUUUUCGAUUUCAUUCUUGAAGUGGGUCACUGUAUAUUUGAAUAUUUUUCAUUUAUUUUCGAGAUUCAUUUCAUUUUGUGUCUUUUGAAUAAUUGUGAUCAAUUCAUAUGAUUACCAUUCAAAAGUGACCAUAAAAAUGACUGAAACAAUACUUUUUGAAAUUUUCGAAUAUCUCGAAAAGAAAUCAAAAUAAAGUGAAAUAUUUGAAGUCAUUUUUCAGAAAAACUCUCGAAAACUCGAAAACGUAGCAAGAUAUUCACGUUCUUAUUCAUUCGAAAAAAGAAAACGGGAAUUCUUAAAUAUUUUUUCGUAAAUUUCUCGAGUUGAGCAAGGAAUUUGGGACACCCUGUACAUAGUAGUUAAAGAGCAUUUUCCUCGGCAUUCUCAAACUCCCAACGUUUACAUUUUUUUUACAUAUAGAUGAACAAUGUACUACUUUUCCUUGAAUAGUUCCAAAAAUUUCAUUUUGAAAAUAUUGAACGAAAAUCUUUCAGGACAUUUAGAUAUCGAAAAGUUUCAGUGCUUCUCUAUAUACAUAUUUACAUUUAUAAAUUUUCCAACUUCAACAAACACGAAUUACACACUGAGAGAAGUGUUUAUUUGAUAUUAUCGAAAAUGCAUUAUAGUUAA
Long non-coding RNA from Harmonia axyridis, 2675 nucleotides. RefSeq lists it as uncharacterized. The record is from RefSeq and is a predicted model, not a curated record. The transcript has 4 exons. NCBI's taxonomy places the organism in Eukaryota, Metazoa, Arthropoda, Insecta, Coleoptera, Coccinellidae.